This 240-nucleotide long non-coding RNA is filed under the name Mytilus galloprovincialis (Mediterranean mussel). The record is from RNAcentral. Lineage: Eukaryota; Metazoa; Mollusca; Bivalvia; Mytilida; Mytilidae.
GCAUCAACAUGAGUAAGUUAAGUAUCAAAAAUAAUAUUUAUUUUUAGAAUAGAUUUGUUACUUUUAUACAUUGAUUGGCUAAACUUAUUUUGCCCAGCAUCUUUUGACUAAUUUAGCACAGCUAAAACAUUGUUUUACAUCUCUCACUAAUAAUAAACCUUACAUUACUACAUCAAUUAAGUGCUCAGCACCUUUUUGCUCAUUUAUAUUGGGAACUGUAUACUAAGAUUCAUCUUUAUU